AAGAGAUCGGGAUAACACCUGGAAACAGAUGCUAAUACCGGAUAACAACAGAUGAUGCCUAUCAACUGUUUAAAAGAUGGUUCUGCUAUCACUCUUGGAUGGACCUGCGGUGCAUUAGCUAGUUGGUAGGGUAACGGCCUACCAAGGCGAUGAUGCAUAGCCGAGUUGAGAGACUGAUCAGCCACAUUGGGACUGAGACACGGCCCAAACUCCUACGGGAGGCAGCAGCA
RNAcentral lists this ribosomal RNA (230 nucleotides) under uncultured Lactobacillus sp. Its description in RNAcentral is "partial 16S ribosomal RNA". It matches the Rfam family "Bacterial small subunit ribosomal RNA", at positions 132 to 355 of the family's 1533-position model. The record is from RNAcentral. Lineage: Bacteria; Bacillati; Bacillota; Bacilli; Lactobacillales; Lactobacillaceae.